UGGGGAAUAUUGCACAAUGGGCGCAAGCCUGAUGCAGCCAUGCCGCGUGUAUGAAGAAGGCCUUCGGGUUGUAAAGUACUUUCAGCGAGGAGGAAGGCGUUGUGGUUAAUAACCGCAACGAUUGACGUUACUCGCAGAAGAAGCACCGGCUAACUCCGUGCCAGCAGCCGCGGUAAUACGGAGGGUGCAAGCGUUAAUCGGAAUUACUGGGCGUAAAGCGCGCGUAGGUGGUUUGUUAAGUUGGAUGUGAAAGCCCCGGGCUCAACCUGGGAACUGCAUCCGAAACUGGCAGGCUAGAGUCUUGUAGAGGGGGGUAGAAUUCCAGGUGUAGCGGUGAAAUGCGUAGAGAUCUGGAGGAAUACCGGUGGCGAAGGCGGCCCCCUGGACAAAGACUGACGCUCAGGUGCGAAAGCGUGGGGAGCAAACA
This 427-nucleotide ribosomal RNA is filed under the name uncultured bacterium. RNAcentral describes it as "partial 16S ribosomal RNA". It matches the Rfam family "Bacterial small subunit ribosomal RNA", at positions 355 to 774 of the family's 1533-position model. The record is from RNAcentral.